UAAGACGGUCCAGAAUGAUGUAUUUUUCACCAAAAUAUUUAGGUCAUUAAACUUGAAAAUUUGAGGGAUGACCUCAUUUAAUCUCCAGUAGCAAUUUGACCUGAAUGGGGGAAUUAUGCGUCUGGAUCGUCUUAC
This 135-nucleotide non-coding RNA is filed under the name Erwinia billingiae. RNAcentral describes it as "Yersinia sRNA 155(RyfD)". It matches the Rfam family "Yersinia sRNA 155(RyfD)". The record is from Rfam by way of RNAcentral. Lineage: Bacteria; Pseudomonadati; Pseudomonadota; Gammaproteobacteria; Enterobacterales; Erwiniaceae.